Molecule: long non-coding RNA, 147 nt
Filed under: Chinchilla lanigera (long-tailed chinchilla)
Lineage: Eukaryota; Metazoa; Chordata; Mammalia; Rodentia; Chinchillidae
Description: lncRNA (ENSCLAG00000023547.1)
Source: RNAcentral
AUGCUUGCUGAUUUGGAUGACACAAGCAAAGAUGACAGCAAGGCUCCCUAUCCUCCUGGUGGAAUCUGCUGUGCUCACCUCUGUAGAAAGAGAGUAAAUAUCUGCUAUAUUGUGCAUUACUAUCAUUUUUUUCUUCAACUUAAUUGA